ACUCAAAUGAAUUGACGGGGGCCCGCACAAGCGGUGGAGUAUGUGGUUUAAUUCGACGCAACACGAAAAACCUUACCUGGGCUUGAAGAGCUAGUGGUAAAACCUGGAAACAGGGAUGACCCGCAAGGGAGCUAGCAGAGGUGCUGCAUGGUUGUCGUCAGCUCGUGUCGUGAGAUGUUGGGUUAAGUCCCGCAACGAGCGCAACCCUUAUCCUAUGUUGCCACCCUCGCAAGAGGCGCACUCUUAGGAAACUGCCGGUGACAAACCGGAGGAAGGUGAGGAUGACGUCAAAUCCUCAUGGCCUUUAUGUCCAGGGCUACACACGUACUACAAUGGCCGGUACAGAGGGAUGCAAGACCGCAAGGUGGAGCCAACCCCUAAAGCCGGCCCCAGUUCAGAUUGUGGGCUGCAACCCGCCCACAUGAAGGUGGAAUCGCUAGUAAUCGCGAAUCAGAAGGUCGCGGUGAAUACGUUCCCGGGCCUUGUACACACCGCCCGU
RNAcentral lists this ribosomal RNA (499 nucleotides) under uncultured bacterium. RNAcentral's name for it is "partial 16S ribosomal RNA". It matches the Rfam family "Bacterial small subunit ribosomal RNA", at positions 899 to 1397 of the family's 1533-position model. The record is from RNAcentral.